This 381-nucleotide ribosomal RNA is filed under the name Triticum aestivum (bread wheat). RNAcentral's name for it is "partial small subunit ribosomal RNA". Lineage: Eukaryota; Viridiplantae; Streptophyta; Magnoliopsida; Poales; Poaceae. The record is from RNAcentral.
AUGUCUGCAUCAUCGUCGUCCGUCAGCCUAAAGGAGAUUUCGCCGCUCAUUCCAUGCACUGACUGCGGCGUGCAGAUCGUCACCUGGAUUGCUCAUGGUGGAUCGAACGUUGGUCAUCGGUUCUACAAGUACAUGAAUAAAGAUAAGAUUGGUCUGUGUGGAUACAUGAGGUCGAGCAAGGAGUGUCGUGCUGAGCUUAGUAACCAUUUUGGCAUGGAUCAGCAAUUCAGCAGCCAGUCCGUGCCAACCCCAUCCGAUAUCUUAUCUGAACCGAAGAGCUCGUCCAGCCAAGCAAACAAGCAAUGGAUUCGUGCAGGUGAGCUGGCACGAAAUGGUCGACUGGAGCCACAACCAUGGAGGGGUCAGGCACGUUUCAAUUAG